AUGAAGCUGGAAUCGCUAGUAAUCGCGGAUCAGAAUGCCGCGGUGAAUACGUUCCCGGGUCUUGUACACACCGCCCGUCACACCAUGGGAGUCGGAAAUGCCCGAAGUCUGUGACCCAACCUGAGAGGGAGGGAGCAGCCGAAGGCAGGUCUGAUGACUGGGGUGAAGUCGUAACAAGGUACC
Molecule: ribosomal RNA, 183 nt
Filed under: uncultured bacterium
Lineage: Bacteria
Description: partial 16S ribosomal RNA
Rfam family: Bacterial small subunit ribosomal RNA
Source: RNAcentral